Molecule: ribosomal RNA, 253 nt
Filed under: uncultured bacterium
Lineage: Bacteria
Description: partial 16S ribosomal RNA
Rfam family: Bacterial small subunit ribosomal RNA
Source: RNAcentral
GACGAACCGAGCGAACGUUGUUCGGAAUCACUGGGCUUAAAGGGCGCGUAGGCGGGUGAUCAAGACCGGGGUGAAAUCCUCCAGCUUAACCGGAGAACUGACUCGGAUACUGGUUGCCUCGAGGAAGGUAGGGGUGUGUGGAACGUUCAGUGGAGCGGUGAAAUGCAUUGAUAUUGAACGGAACUCCGGUGGCGAAGGCGACACACUGGACCUUUUCUGACGCUGAGGCGCGACAGCUAGGGGAGCAAACGGG